CAGUGUUACAGCUCUUUUAGAAUUUGUCUUGCAGGUUUUCAGGGUUUUUUCUGGAACACCCCC
Molecule: small nuclear RNA, 63 nt
Filed under: Echinops telfairi (small Madagascar hedgehog)
Lineage: Eukaryota; Metazoa; Chordata; Mammalia; Afrosoricida; Tenrecidae
Description: U7 small nuclear RNA (ENSETEG00000020914.1)
Rfam family: U7 small nuclear RNA
About the family: Animal histone pre-mRNAs are spliced by a different mechanism than nuclear pre-mRNAs and self-splicing introns. This processing involves the U7 snRNP, which contains only one RNA species: U7.
Source: RNAcentral